UACAGGGGGGUGCAAACGUUGCUCGGAAUUAUUGGGCGUAAAGCGCACGUAGGCGGCUUAGCAAGUCGGAAGUGAAAGCCCUCGGCUCAACCAAGGAAGUGCUUUCGAAACUGCUGAGCUUGAGUACUUAAGAGGAUCGCGGAAUUCCCGGUGUAGAGGUGAAAUUCGUAGAUAUCGGGGAGGAACACCAGUGGCGAAGGCGGCGAUCUGGGAAGAUACUGACGCUGAGGUGCGAAAGCGUGGGGAGCAAACAGG
This 255-nucleotide ribosomal RNA is filed under the name uncultured bacterium. Its description in RNAcentral is "partial 16S ribosomal RNA". It matches the Rfam family "Bacterial small subunit ribosomal RNA", at positions 524 to 776 of the family's 1533-position model. The record is from RNAcentral.